RNAcentral lists this ribosomal RNA (253 nucleotides) under uncultured bacterium. RNAcentral describes it as "partial 16S ribosomal RNA". It matches the Rfam family "Bacterial small subunit ribosomal RNA", at positions 524 to 776 of the family's 1533-position model. The record is from RNAcentral.
UACGUAGGGGGCAAGCGUUGUCCGGAAUCAUUGGGCGUAAAGAGCGUGUAGGCGGCCCGAUAAGUCCGCUGUGAAAGUCCAGGGCUCAACCCUGGAAUGCCAGUGGAAACUGGCGGGCUGGAGUCCGGAAGAGGCGAGUGGAAUUCCUGGUGUAGCGGUGAAAUGCGCAGAUAUCAGGAGGAACACCAAUGGCGAAGGCAGCUCGGUGGGACGGUAAUGACGCUGAGACGCGAAAGCGUGGGGAGCAAACAGG